Molecule: non-coding RNA, 47 nt
Organism: Equus caballus (horse)
Lineage: Eukaryota; Metazoa; Chordata; Mammalia; Perissodactyla; Equidae
Source: Rfam
UCAAAGGCCCUUCUUAGGGCCACCCACAAGAUCUGUUAAAGAGCUGU